RNAcentral lists this non-coding RNA (230 nucleotides) under Oscillibacter sp. Its description in RNAcentral is "T-box sequence". It matches the Rfam family "T-box leader". Rfam says of the family: Uncharged tRNA acts as the effector for transcription antitermination of genes in the T-box leader family. T-boxes are found upstream of many aminoacyl-tRNA synthetase genes and some amino acid biosynthetic genes usually in Gram-positive bacteria. The record is from RNAcentral. Lineage: Bacteria; Bacillati; Bacillota; Clostridia; Eubacteriales; Oscillospiraceae.
GGAACUGCAAAGAAGGGAAGCAGUACCCGGCUGGCGGAUGCCAAGAGAGGGCGCGGUUGGUGGAAGCGCCUGGGAAGCGGCCGGAGAAGUCGUCCCGGAGCAUCCGGCUGAAAGAGCAGUAAGCCGCGACGGUGACCCCGCCGUUAUCGGGAAUGGCGCCAUGCGGCGCCGGUGAGUGCGUGUUUUUUGCAUGAAUUCAGGUGGUACCACGGACAUUGUUCGCCCUGAGC